GGUGGCUUAGUGGUAGAGCGCUUGCCUCACAAGCAUGAAGCCCUGGGUUCAAUUCCUCAGCACCA
This is a non-coding RNA of Dipodomys ordii (Ord's kangaroo rat), 65 nucleotides long. The record is from Rfam. NCBI's taxonomy places the organism in Eukaryota, Metazoa, Chordata, Mammalia, Rodentia, Heteromyidae.